CUGCAAAUCUUCUCUCUGUUCUGAUUUGGUAAUAAUAAGGGAAAGCUAAACAUUCACUACGAUAACACCACAUCUAUGUCCCUAGUUCUAGUUCUUCUACUGAUUUAGGUCUGGUCUUAUAAGUACUGAUGAUCAAA
Molecule: small nucleolar RNA, 137 nt
Organism: Sorex fumeus (smoky shrew)
Lineage: Eukaryota; Metazoa; Chordata; Mammalia; Eulipotyphla; Soricidae
Product: small nucleolar RNA SNORA72
Exons: 1
Source: RefSeq, a predicted model, not a curated record